AGGACGAACGCUGGCGGCGUGCUUAACACAUGCAAGUCACGGGGGCCCGCAAGGGUAACCGGCGAACGGGUGCGUAACACGUGAACAACCUGCCCUCGUGUGGGGGAUAGCCGGGCUAACGCCCGGGUAAUACCGCAUACGGUUCCUUGGGGGAGUCCCUGGGGAAAGAAAGCUCCGGCGCACGGGGAGGGGUUCGCGGCCUAUCAGCUAGUUGGCGGGGUAAUGGCCCACCAAGGCGACGACGGGUAGCU
RNAcentral lists this ribosomal RNA (251 nucleotides) under uncultured bacterium. RNAcentral's name for it is "partial small subunit ribosomal RNA". It matches the Rfam family "Bacterial small subunit ribosomal RNA", at positions 26 to 288 of the family's 1533-position model. The record is from RNAcentral.